Molecule: ribosomal RNA, 496 nt
Filed under: uncultured bacterium
Lineage: Bacteria
Description: partial 16S ribosomal RNA
Rfam family: Bacterial small subunit ribosomal RNA
Source: RNAcentral
GAUGAACGCUGGCGGCGUGCCUAAUACAUGCAAGUCGAGCGAACAGACGAGGAGCUUGCUCCUCUUACGUUAGCGGCGGACGGGUGAGUAACACGUGGAGAACCUACCUAUAAGACGGGGAUAACUUCUGGAAACGGGUGCUAAUACCGGAUAAUAUAUUUAACCGCAUGUUUCAAGAUUGAAAGACGGUUUUGCUUCAACUUAUGAUGGUACCGCGUCGUAUUUGCUAGUUGGUAAGGUAAAGGCUUACCAAGGCAAAGUAUCGUAGCCGACCUGAGAGGGUGACCGGCAAAAUGGGACUUGAGCACGGCUCCAACGCCCUCGGGAAGGAACAAGAGGGGAACCUCCGGAAUUGGCGGAAGGCUUGCCGGACAACGCCGGGGUGAGUAAUGAAGGUCUCGGGACCGAAAACUCCUGUUAUAAGGGAGGAACAAAUGUGUAAGUAAAUACGCACCAAUUGACGGUAACUACCCAGAAAGCCACGGCUAACUACGUG